GGCUCAGGAUGAACGCUAGCUACAGGCUUAACACAUGCAAGUCGAGGGGAAACGAUAUUGGAAGCUUGCUUCUGAUAGGCGUCGACCGGCGCACGGGUGAGUAACGCGUAUCCAACCUGCCCAUCACUUGGGGAUAACCUUGCGAAAGUAAGACUAAUACCCAAUGACGUCUCUAGAAGACAUCUGAAAGAGAUUAAAGAUUUAUCGGUGAUGGAUGGGGAUGCGUCUGAUUAGCUUGUUGGCGGGUAACGGCCCACCAAGGCGACGAUCAGUAGGGGUUCUGAGAGGAAGGUCCCCCACAUUGGAACUGAGACACGGUCCAAACUCCUACGGGAGGCAGCAGUGAGGAAUAUUGGUCAAUGGACGAGAGUCUGAACCAGCCAAGUAGCGUGCAGGAUGACGGCCCUAUGGGUUGUAAACUGCUUUUAUAAGGGAAUAAAGUGGGAGUCGUGACUCUUUUGCAUGUACCUUAUGAAUAAGGACCGGCUAAUUCCGUG
This 497-nucleotide ribosomal RNA is filed under the name uncultured bacterium. RNAcentral's name for it is "bacterial SSU rRNA". It matches the Rfam family "Bacterial small subunit ribosomal RNA", at positions 21 to 507 of the family's 1533-position model. The record is from RNAcentral.